Molecule: ribosomal RNA, 465 nt
Filed under: uncultured bacterium
Lineage: Bacteria
Description: partial 16S ribosomal RNA
Rfam family: Bacterial small subunit ribosomal RNA
Source: RNAcentral
CUACGGGGGGCACCAGUGAGGAAUUUUGCGCAAUGGGGGAAACCCUGACGCAGCAACGCCGCGUGAGCGAAGAAGGCCUUCGGGUCGUAAAGCUCUGUCAAGUGGGAAAAAAAUUCUUUGAUGAACAGUCAAAGGACUUGAUGGUACCACUGGAGGAAGCACCGGCUAACUCCGUGCCAGCAGCCGCGGUAAUACGGUAGGGUGCAAGCGUUGUUCGGAAUUACUGGGCGUAAAGAGCGUGGAGGCGGUUUGACAAGUCAGAUGUGAAAGCCCCGGGCUCAACCCGGGAAGUGCAUUUGAAACUGUUUCACUAGAGUAUGGGAGAGGAGAUUGGAAUUCCUGGUGUAGAGGUGAAAUUCGUAGAUAUCAGGAGGAACACCCGUGGCGAAGGCGAUUCUCUGGACCAAUACUGACGCUGAGACGCGAAAGCGUGGGGAGCAAACAGGAUUAGAUACCCCCGUAGUC